This is a long non-coding RNA of Danio aesculapii, 372 nucleotides long. RefSeq lists it as uncharacterized. The record is from RefSeq and is a predicted model, not a curated record. The transcript is spliced from 3 exons. NCBI's taxonomy places the organism in Eukaryota, Metazoa, Chordata, Actinopteri, Cypriniformes, Danionidae.
GUUCAAAGUCGCGUCAGGACGCAAAAUGCAGUCUUCACAGUUUAUACCUUUAUUCAGCUCCACUCCGAAGAAGCAUAAGUGAGACAUCACUGCUCCAGCAAUGGGCACUGACACCAUGCCAGAGAGAGACUGGAGCCUUCUUGACAGUUUGCUGUCCACUCGCCAAACCUCAAGUCUAUACAGCUGACAGCGCAUGUCCGCGAGUUUUAAUGGUCAUUUUCUCUUGAUGUCAGCAAGAGGAUCUUAACCAGCAAGAGACCAUGAACAUAAUUGGACCCACAAGAAACAUUCAUCUUGAUUACAUUCAAUUUGAACCAAUAAGGAUUGGGUAAGUACUGGUCAUUCAUCAAAGUCAGAUUGGAGGGACUUAGU